RNAcentral lists this long non-coding RNA (204 nucleotides) under Mytilus galloprovincialis (Mediterranean mussel). Lineage: Eukaryota; Metazoa; Mollusca; Bivalvia; Mytilida; Mytilidae. The record is from RNAcentral.
CUGGUUUACUGUAAGUUGUACGUUUUGUUUUUUUCUGGCAUUUACGUUCUAUGAGUUUGGAGACAAUACAUUUCAAAAGGCAUUAAAAAAUGUUUUCAUGCAGACUGGUACAAUGUAUAGCAUCUGAUAAAUUCUCUAUUUUUUUUAAAAUUCGUAACAUUUCGACACAAAACAAAAUGUUCAUUAUCUUUUAUGAAAACAAAU